GGGGCUGUAGUGUAGCUUGGUAUCACUCGUGGUUUGGGACCGCGCGACCGGGGUUCAAAACGGACUUAGUACGUUUUAAGCGAACUGGUUCGAUGUAAAUCCUCGCAGCCCCA
RNAcentral lists this transfer RNA (113 nucleotides) under Candidatus Woesearchaeota archaeon. RNAcentral describes it as "tRNA-Pro". The record is from RNAcentral. Lineage: Archaea; Nanobdellati; Candidatus Woesearchaeota.